AGAGUUUGAUCCUGGCUCAGAUUGAACGCUGGCGGUAGGCUUAACACAUGCAAGUCGUGCGAGAAAGUAUCUUCGGAUAUGAGUAGAGCGGCGGACGGGUGAGUAACGCGUAGGAAUCUACCUAGUAGAAGGGGAUAGCCCGAGGAAACUCGGAUUAAUACCGUAUACCUCCUUCGGGAGAAAGAAGGCCUCUCUUUGAAGCUUUCGCUACUAGAUGAGCCUGCGUAAGAUUAGCUUGUUGGUGAGGUAAAGGCUCACCAAGGCUACGAUCUUUAGCGGGUCUGAGAGGACGAUCCGCCACAUUGGGACUGAGACACGGCCUAGACUCCUACGGGAGGCAGCAGUGGGGAAUAUUGGACAAUGGGCGAAAGCCUGAUCCAGCCAUACCGCGUGUGUGAAGAAGGCCCUAGGGUUGUAAAGCACUUUAAGUUGGGAAGAAAAGUCAUUGGUUAAUACCCAAUGACCGUGACAUUACCAUCAGAAUAAGGACCGGCUAAUUCCGUGCCAGCAGCCGCGGUAAUACGGAAGGUCCAAGCGUUAAUCGGAAUUACUGGGCGUAAAGCGCGCGUAGGUGGUUUAUUAAGUUGGGUGUGAAAUCCCCGGGCUCAACCUGGGAACUGCAUCCAAAACUGAUUCACUAGAGUACGAUAGAGGGAGGUAGAAUUCACAGUGUAGCGGUGGAAUGCGUAGAUAUUGUGAAGAAUACCAAUGGCGAAGGCAGCCUCCUGGAUCUGUACUGACACUGAG
Molecule: ribosomal RNA, 747 nt
Filed under: uncultured bacterium
Lineage: Bacteria
Description: bacterial SSU rRNA
Rfam family: Bacterial small subunit ribosomal RNA
Source: RNAcentral